Long non-coding RNA from Oncorhynchus keta (chum salmon), 1328 nucleotides. RefSeq lists it as uncharacterized. NCBI's taxonomy places the organism in Eukaryota, Metazoa, Chordata, Actinopteri, Salmoniformes, Salmonidae. The transcript has 3 exons. The record is from RefSeq and is a predicted model, not a curated record.
AACAAAGGCAAAUGAAUGUUUUAAAUAUUGAUUAACAAUCCUUCUAACCAACCAAUAUUCUCUGAAAUGUCUAUGUAUUUUAGUUUGUGCUUAAUUAUUUGUGGAAUUUUAAAGGAUUAACUAUUGAUACAUUUUUGGGGGUCUUAGUGGCAAGCAUGUGAAAUUAUUUAUUUCAGGUGAACUUCGGUAACUACAAUGCUGUCAUGAGUUUCUUGAAUGUGAACCAGAACUACUGGAAGUUCAUUGUGAGUCUAAUCCUUUUUCCAAGAUUGAUUUAGGUACAUUUUUGUGAAGAGGUAUGAGGGUUGUGAUAUGGGUGAUUUAAUAGUCAAAUAAUUUAAGGGAUCAACACAUUUCUAUAUUGCUUCCCCAGUAUCUGCAUGAACCAUCAGGCCAAGUGUUUUGGUUGACCCUGCAGGACAGAAAGAGAAGGAGGAAUCGGAACACGCUGCAUUCAAAUUCAGAUGGUCUGCAAUGCUGACUGUGUGAUCAGCAAUGUUGUGGCAAAAUGGCCUGGCUCAGUCCAUGACUCCAGAAUGUUUCGGGCCUCUGAAAUCUAUCAGUGCCUAUCACAAGGUGAAUUCUCUGGUGUGUUGCUGGGAGACAGGGGGUAUGGCUGCCAGCCUUUUCUCCUGACACCUUUCACAGACCCCCAGGAAGCACAGCAGGCCUACAACCAUGCCCAUGCCAGGACCAGGGCCAGAGUUGAAAUGACCUUUGGCCUCCUGAAGGCACGCUUUCACUGCCUUCACAAAUUAAGGGUCAGCCCUGUUAGGGCAUGUGAUAUUACUGUGGCUUGUGCUGUCCUCCACAAUGUGGCCUGCCUGAGGAAGGAGAGGGCCCCCAGAGUGCCACCAGCCAUGGACUGGGACAAUCCGGCAAUCUUCCCUGAUGACGACAGUGGUCGGCUGCUGAGGGACCAAUAUGUGUUGAAUUAUUUUAGUUAGUAUGUGUGCUUUCAAUUUUGGUUAAAUAUGUCCUGCGGUGGCAGAGGAAUUUGGGUUUUUUUGGGUUAGUUUUUUUACGAAUUUGGCCUCUUAUGAUGUUUGUGCGGUAUACUGUGUGUAAUACAAGGCUGCAGGGAGGCUACUGCAUCCAUUCAUUUGUCUGUUCAGUUGAUGUGUAUGGAUUUGUCCUGCAUUUAUUUUAGUGUGCAGACAUGCAGGGUGUGUUAUAUACAGACCUUUGAAUGUGUAUGUAUCAUUUUGUAUAAUAUGCUUGGAUUCUGUGCUUUCCAUCUUGUAGAGUCACUGUUACUUCAGUUUCGAAAGGAGCUGAUGGUUUACCUGCUUUGUUUUGUCCUUAUUCAAUAAAGGAACAUAAUGUUA